UCUAAGUAUCACCUGCCAGACAGGGAAACUGCGUACGGCUCAUUACACCAGCCUUAAUUUACUUGACCUUGACAACCUACUUGGAUAACUGUGGUAAUUCUAGAGCUAAUACAUGCACCAAAGCUCCGAUCCUCGCGGAGAGGAGCGCAUUUGUUCGCCACAAAACCAAGCGCCCAUCUGGGCGUCCAGUGCUGAACCAGAACAACUCAGCUGAUCGCACGGUCUUGUACCGGCGACGUGUCUUUCAAGUGUCUGCCUUAUCAACUUUCGAUGGUAGUGUACCUGACUACCAUGGUUGUGACGGGUAACGGAGGAUAAGGGUUCGACUCCGGAGAAGGGGCCUGAGAAAUGGCCACUACGUCUAAGGAUGGCAGCAGGCGCGCAAAUUACCCACUCUCAACGCGAGGAGGUAGUGACGAGAAAUAACGAGACCGUUCUCAUACGAGGCCGGUUAUUGGAAUGGGUACAAUUUAAA
This 475-nucleotide ribosomal RNA is filed under the name unidentified nematode Sourhope farm. RNAcentral describes it as "SSU rRNA". It matches the Rfam family "Eukaryotic small subunit ribosomal RNA", at positions 58 to 529 of the family's 1831-position model. Lineage: Eukaryota; Metazoa; Nematoda. The record is from RNAcentral.